This 411-nucleotide ribosomal RNA is filed under the name uncultured Flavobacterium sp. RNAcentral's name for it is "bacterial SSU rRNA". It matches the Rfam family "Bacterial small subunit ribosomal RNA", at positions 28 to 441 of the family's 1533-position model. Lineage: Bacteria; Pseudomonadati; Bacteroidota; Flavobacteriia; Flavobacteriales; Flavobacteriaceae. The record is from RNAcentral.
GAUGAACGCUAGCGGCAGGCCUAACACAUGCAAGUCGAGGGGUAGAACACUUCGGUGUUUGAGACCGGCGCACGGGUGCGUAACGCGUAUGCAAUCUACCUUAUACAGGGGAAUAGCCCAGAGAAAUUUGGAUUAAUGCCCCAUAGUGUUAUAGAAUCGCAUGGUUUUAUAACUAAAGUUCCAACGGUAUAAGAUGAGCAUGCGUCCCAUUAGUUAGUUGGUAAGGUAACGGCUUACCAAGACAAUGAUGGGUAGGGGUCCUGAGAGGGAGAUCCCCCACACUGGUACUGAGACACGGACCAGACUCCUACGGGAGGCAGCAGUGAGGAAUAUUGGUCAAUGGUCGGAAGACUGAACCAGCCAUGCCGCGUGCAGGAAGAAGCAUCUAUGGUGUGUAAACUGCUUUUGUAC